AACGAACGCUGGCGGCAUGCCUAACACAUGCAAGUCGAACGAGACCUUCGGGUCUAGUGGCGCACGGGUGCGUAACGCGUGGGAACCUGCCCUUAGGUUCGGAAUAACUCCCCGAAAGGGGUGCUAAUACCGGAUAAUGUCUUCGGACCAAAGAUUAUAGCCUUUGGAUGGGCCCGCGUUGGAUUAGCUAGUUGGUAGGGUAAAAGCCUACCAAGGCGACGAUCCAUAGCUGGUCUGAGAGGAUGAUCAGCCACACUGGGACUGAGACACGGCCCAGACUCCUACGGGAGGCAGCAGUGGGGAAUAUUGGACAAUGGGCGAAAGCCUGAUCCAGCAAUGCCGCGUGAGUGAUGAAGGCCUUAGGGUUGUAAAGCUCUUUUACCCGGGAUGAUAAUGACAGUACCGGGAGAAUAAGCUCCGGCUAACUCCGUG
This 432-nucleotide ribosomal RNA is filed under the name uncultured bacterium. RNAcentral describes it as "partial 16S ribosomal RNA". It matches the Rfam family "Bacterial small subunit ribosomal RNA", at positions 29 to 507 of the family's 1533-position model. The record is from RNAcentral.